AUUUCCUCCUCCAUUGAGAUGCACGACGCCAAGAUCGCAGCCAGAGUAUUUGCACCCAUUGCAGCUGCGUUAUGCUCUGCGACCACCGUUGGCGCGAGCAUUCAAACGUCAGGUCUAGUUUUGCUGGGAUCUGCUCUAGGCGGUAUCAUCGGGUUCAUCUUAGCGUUUGGCGCCAACCUAUUUCCCGGUGCCCACGUUGUGGCUCUGUCGAUCUCGGCGCUCUGCCUCCUUGUGCCAUCGCUUCAGCCUGUCUUCGUGAAGAUCACCCUGAUUAUGAUCACCGUCUCCGUCACCCACGCUGCUGAC
This 306-nucleotide ribosomal RNA is filed under the name Rhodomonas lens. RNAcentral's name for it is "partial Archaeal large subunit ribosomal RNA". Lineage: Eukaryota; Cryptophyceae; Pyrenomonadales; Pyrenomonadaceae. The record is from RNAcentral.